Molecule: ribosomal RNA, 253 nt
Filed under: uncultured bacterium
Lineage: Bacteria
Description: partial 16S ribosomal RNA
Rfam family: Bacterial small subunit ribosomal RNA
Source: RNAcentral
UACAGGGGGUGCAAACGUUGCUCGGAAUCAUUGGGCGUAAAGCGCACGUAGGCGGUUCGUUAUGUCGGAUGUGAAAGCCCUUGGCUUAACCGAGGAAGUGCAUCCGAAACUGGCGAGCUAGAGUACUAAAGAGGAUCGCGGAAUUCCCGGUGUAGAGGUGAAAUUCGUAGAUAUUCGGAAGAACACCAGUGGCGAAGGCGACUUACUGGACACAUAUUGACGCUGAGGUGCGAAAGCGUGGGGAGCAAACAGG